Leptonychotes weddellii (Weddell seal) is the source of this 813-nucleotide long non-coding RNA. RefSeq lists it as uncharacterized. Lineage: Eukaryota; Metazoa; Chordata; Mammalia; Carnivora; Phocidae. The record is from RefSeq and is a predicted model, not a curated record.
GCUCAAUGUGAGUGUGAGGGAGCAUGGCAAUUAGUUCAACCCGGGCACGGGCCCUGCCAGGUCUCAAAGGCCAUGCCCCCACCCCUCCUUCACCCCCCAGCACCACUGGCUCCACUCUCCCUGGAGAGGCGGCUGCUCUCAUCAGCUCCUAGAACAGGGUGGUGCCUUGGCAAACUUUCCAGAACAACAAAAAGAAGAAGAAGAAGAAGAAAAGGCAGGCUCUGGGUUUCCACCUUAACUCUGCCACUUCCCGGCUGCGCGACCUUGGAUGAGGCCUUUCCGUCCUCUGGGGCUCAGCGCCUACAUCUAUAGAAUGGGGUUAAUAUGCCUCCCCUGCCAGCCUCCCAGGUCUUUAUAAAAGAACAAAUAUGAUGAAGAAUUGGAAAUGGCCUCUGAGAACUGUAAUAUACAACCGUAAGAGGCUUAUCAUUAUUCCUCCCCAGCCGUUCAUUUGCAGCAGCUGCAAAGUGGGCACCCAGAGGAGCCUUUUGUCCCAGUGGAGUCAUCUGUGUAGAGAAGAGUGGGGGAGGGUCUGUUACAGACUCGUCAUCCCGCCACAUCCACCUGUGCCCUCACCUGUGCCUCCAGAUGUCAUCCAGAUGUGUCCUUUCCACGCAAAGACCCAGCAGGAUUUGACCCUACCCAUCCUUCUAGCUUCGUCUCCCACCUAUUCCCUGAACCCCCUUGUUAUGGGCUAAAUUGUAUUCCUCCCAGUACCAAAUCCAUAUGUUGAAAUCCUAACUACCAAGUGCCUCAGGAUGUGACUGUACUUGAAGAUAGGGUCUUUAAAGAGGUAAUAAAGUGAAAAUGAGA